GGCCCUUUAGCUCAGUGGUCAGAGCAUGCGGAUCAUAACCCGCUGGUUCAGGUCAGGCAGGGGCCACUA
RNAcentral lists this transfer RNA (69 nucleotides) under Salmonella enterica. RNAcentral's name for it is "tRNA-OTHER". It matches the Rfam family "tRNA". From Rfam's summary of the family: Transfer RNA (tRNA) molecules are approximately 80 nucleotides in length. The record is from RNAcentral. Lineage: Bacteria; Pseudomonadati; Pseudomonadota; Gammaproteobacteria; Enterobacterales; Enterobacteriaceae.